This 325-nucleotide ribosomal RNA is filed under the name uncultured bacterium. Its description in RNAcentral is "bacterial SSU rRNA". It matches the Rfam family "Bacterial small subunit ribosomal RNA", at positions 471 to 793 of the family's 1533-position model. The record is from RNAcentral.
GACGUUUACCUACAGAAGAAGCACCGGCUAACUCCGUGCCAGCAGCCGCGGUAAUACGGAGGGUGCGAGCGUUAAUCGGAAUUACUGGGCGUAAAGCGCAUGCAGGCGGCCUGUUAAGUCAGAUGUGAAAGCCCGGGGCUUAACCUCGGAAUUGCAUUUGAAACUGGCAGGCUAGAGUCUUGUAGAGGGGGUAGAAUUUCAGGUGUAGCGGUGAAAAUGCGUAGAGAUCUGAAGGAAUACCAGUGGCGAAGGCGGCCCCCCUGGACAAAGACUGACGCUCAGAUGCGAAAGCGUGGGGAGCAAACAGGAUUAGAUACCCUGGUAG